GAAUCUAGAAAAAAGACGAAAGAAUAAAAUCAAAGCAUCCUCGUCAAGAAGUGAUCUAACCUUUAGCCACAUUUUGGAAACACUGCUCAUUGUUCAACCUUAGAUAAUAAGACAAGCAACUAGUGGGCCAACAGAGCUCCUUUCUUUCUAGUUUGUUUCUGACAUUAGUUUCAUUGAUUCAUUAGUUAGCACUGAUUUCAUUGAUUCCUUCAGUUAGCAAGCAUUACGUGUUAUAAUGUAGGAGAAACUAAGAAAUAUGCUCUUAGUGAAAUAGCUACUUCACCCCCUUGGAGCACAAAAAUAUGUUUCCAUAAUCGGAUCAGUAAAAGAUCACGUCCCCAUUCCAAGGACAACAAAUGCAUUCUCCUGAUCUGGGAUUUCCUACCUCCAAGUAUCCAAGGAGCCUGCACAUGGUUUCCCAGGUCACUUAAAGAAAGUCCAUCCUUUGCUUAGCACUGUUGCCCAUUUCUUCACAGUGGAGUGAUAACAACUUGUGCUUGAGGUCCCUAGUACUGUAAUGAGAGAUGAUGAUGACAAGGAGGAGGAGGACAAUGACAAAGAUGAGGAUGAGGAGGUGAUGACGGUGCUGACUGAUCUUGUAUACUAUAAGAAUCACCACUGAAUGUGAGGCUCACUGGCAAUUUGACCAUGGUCAUUUAGGACAAGAAGGAUAAAGAUACCUUGUUCCACCCCUCCUUCCUAUUCCCCACCCCCACUUAUAUCUUACCUUUGGGGCUUCAGAUAGCUGUGUUAAAGAUCCUCAGGGAAAUAGUUUUAUACUCCCAAAUCCUCUCCACCUAAGAUAGUCAUAGAACCUGUGACAAGGCAGUAGAGACCUUUUCAUGAGCAACCAAUCAGAUUCCAAGAGGAGAGGAAGCUCCUACCUCCAGCUUCACUUCACUUCUUGCCCCCAUCAUUUGUACCCCACCCCUGUUCCCUAACAAACAUCAAGCAUUUUUCCAGGCAUGCAUUGUCUUUGUCCAUGGCCACUUCAGGACAAUAAAACAUGGUCUACCAGGCUUGGAGAGGGCAUUCAUGCACCAAACUAGGUGACAACAAAAGACAAUCAUGAAUUGUAGGGUAGAAUUGUAGGACCAGAACAGGCUCCAAGACCAUGGAAUCCAGCCUCCUCACCCUACAGACAAGGAAGCAGGCCUGGGGGUGUACCCAUGCUCGCAGAUACCACCCACAGCACCUGGUAGUUGAGGCCAAGCCCUCAACCCAAACUCCCUUCUCACGUGUUCACACACCUGCCUCUAUCAGCCUCUAAACUAACUGAAACACACUUAAAUAAUUUAAGGGCUUCAUUAUUUUUUUUCUUUGGAGAAAUAAAAAAUAAACCAGAAACAUUCCUCGUUAGCCAAGGCAGGCUCUGACAGAGCUUGGCAGCUGGGGAGUGUCUUUCUAAAUCAAGAAACACCACAUCUCUUUUGAAAGUGGGAGAAACAAUUUGUACCUCUUAAAUGUGAAGAGAUGCAUUUCUUUGCAUGAACAAAAUAACUGCCAAGAAAUUGCUCAAGGUAAAUGUUGGGCAAAAUAGUCCACAAAGCAAGAGAUAUCAUGCUUGUCAGAACCGUUUCCAAUGAGAAGAUAAGGCAGGGAAAUUGUUUUUCCAUUUGCAAAUAUGUUCUCCAAAUUUCCCCUGGAAAAUAAAUACACAUGAACUUGAGCAUGGAAAAGCUGAAUAUCCAAUUAUUUGAUAAAGAAAACAAGCUGAAAUGGGCUUAAGAGAAAACAAAUUAUUUACCUGAUGGCACAAGAUUUCCACCAUUACCCUCUGGGAUUGUAACCAAGAUCCCCAGUAGUGGAAUGAUGGCAACAUUAACUGCACACUGUGUUUAUCCACAUACACAAAUGGUGUGAAGAUAAUGAGGUCAUGUGUGAAGAAACACCUAUGGGGCCUCAUUUAGUCUUGUUUAUUUUUUAAAUACCUAUGACAGAUCAAAAUUAUACUUAUUCUGCGCAUAUAUGAUACAGAAAUGUCAACUAGUUCUCACAGUCUCAUAGGCGAAGUCACGCUGAUGAGCAACUGAGAGCUGGAAGCCAGCACUGUGCUGGCAGAGAUGCACCUUGGGUACCAGAUGCACCUGGAUGUGAACGUGUUUAAUGUCCAAAGACCUUAGGCGUGGAAGUAAAGGUAUUGCUGUGAUAAACACCGUGACCAAGGGUGUUUAGCUGGCUUACACUGACUGCAGUCUGCCACUGAGGCAAGCCAAAGCAAGAACUCAAGGGGGGGGGGAGGGAGUCCAGAGCUAGGAACUGACGUAGAGACACAGAAGGACACAGCUUGCUUGUUGGCUUGAUCCUAAUAGCUUCCUGGCUUUUUUAUAGAACCCAUGACCCCCUGCCCAUCAGUGUCGAUACCCUCCCACAACAAUUGUUAAUCAAAAAAAAAAAAAAAGAAAGAAAGAAAGAAAGAAAGAAAGAAGAAGAAAAAAGAAAAACAACGCCCAACAGGCUUGCCUCCAGGACAACCUGAUGGAGGCAUUUUCUCAGUUGAGGUUCCUUCUUCCCAGAUUGUAAGAGAAACUGAAGCCAGCCUACCCAAGCCACAGUCGCCCUGUCCCGGGAGCCUAGGCCAGCCUGCACACACAUGCACAGAUGACACUUCCUUCCCUGAGUCAAGCUGCCAAGCCUGCUUCAAGGCCCAGAGAAGCUGCUGGAGAGACACCUGACCUGGAGACACCAAUGGGAAAAGGACAUGGGGCAGAGUCAGCACCUGAGCCAAUGGGACCUUGGGAGUGGGUAUAAAGGCAGGCCUAACUUCCUUAAUAAAUGAGUCUGCAGCUGGGAUACUCACUCCCAGUGCCUGAGUCAUUGGUGCUGCAUCAUCUCACCCCCUCCCCCAAGGGGUGUCUGAGCAGGGUCACCCGAAACACCAGAUGACCGACUCUAGCUUGUAUCAAGCUGACAAAAACCUAACCAGCACAGACAGCAAUAGAAUGGCUUUCCAGGAUCAUAUCCCAACUGCAUGCUUAGGUCGUGCUCAAGCAGGGCAGGCCUGUGCCAAUACCCCAAAAGGGAGUACUUCAUACACAUGACUCACCCUCUCUCUGGCCAGCCCCACAUGAGAAGACCAGCACACCCGCCAACAAGCUGCUUUCAGAGAUGGCCAUCAUUUCAGGGAAACCAAGGCAGCAGCUGGGGCAGCUGGUCACGGUGCAUCCUUGGUCAAGAGCGAAGAGAGACAAACGCAGCCUUGCUUGCUUGCUGCAUAGCUAGCUUCCUCCACUCUUCACAGCCUAGCUCGUGACAUGGUGCUGUCCAUGUCCAGGAGAAAGGUCCAGGAACCUGCUACUCCUCUAGCAUCCUACAUGGCAACUGCUCUCUACCUACACAUCAGAAUCCUCCUCAUCUCCGAGACCUGCCUAUCUUGUUGCCCUAUUGGCCACAGUGUUUCAUUCAUCAACAAAUAAAAUAAACAUAUUUACAGAAUGACAUCUCCCAUCAAACCUUCAUCAAGACUCUCCUCCUGGUGAUUCUCCAUUUUGUCAAGCUGACAGAACUAGUACACCUUCGUUCUUUGAAUCCAUUCGGCUGUCUUCAGCCCUGAACCACUCCAUGGCUCACUCCAUAAGGAGCUGCUAUUAGCAUCAACAACAGCACAAAGAAGGGAUGCUCAGAGACAAGGAGAACACAUGGGAAAAUGUGCAGAUGUACCGUGGAAGUGUGCUACGCAUCACUGCCUGUCAUUCCAUCACCACCUCACACCUCUAUCUUGUCUGUGAUGUAUCGAUGAACCCAGAACCACCAGCCCAAGGAUGGAAUUGUCUGCAGUGAACUGGGCCCUCCCGUAUCAACCAUCAAUCAAGAAACUGCCCUGCAGACUUGUCCACAAGCCAAUCCUAUGGAGACAUUUUCCCCAUCAAGAUGCUUUCUUCCCAAAUGUAUCUAGGUUUGUGUCAUGGUGACAAAAACAACCGGCACAUGUGGUGGGUGACUCUCAUUUUCAUCACAAACGCCUUAGAUCACUGGAACAAGCAGGAUACGCCCCCAUAUCUAGGAAGUUUGUGCUUGUGUUAAUCCCAACUUCGAGAACAAGACAACUACCACAAUUAGAGCCAAAUUUGAAGCAAACUUGAUUAUUUUUAUUGGGGUACACCCAAGAGCUGGC
RNAcentral lists this long non-coding RNA (4114 nucleotides) under Cricetulus griseus (Chinese hamster). Its description in RNAcentral is "lncRNA (ENSCGRG00015040827.1)". Lineage: Eukaryota; Metazoa; Chordata; Mammalia; Rodentia; Cricetidae. The record is from RNAcentral.